Molecule: non-coding RNA, 1297 nt
Organism: Gasterosteus aculeatus aculeatus (three-spined stickleback)
Lineage: Eukaryota; Metazoa; Chordata; Actinopteri; Perciformes; Gasterosteidae
Source: RefSeq, a predicted model, not a curated record
CCCAAACUACGGCCCGCGGGCCGCAUACGGCCCGCCUCCACAUUUGACCCGGCCCCCUGAACAAUACAGAGACGGAAAAAAGGCUAAUGGUUAUGGUAAAAUGGUUGUGUCAUACAAGUAAUUACGACUGCUCGACGGAUCGCGGUCCCUUUAAAUGUUCUGUUGUUGUUGAUGACGUAGAGCCCGUUGAUAGGGAGAUUACAGGGCUGCGCCAUCUUGUUUUUUCAUCCGUUGUGAAAAAUAAACGAGACACACGCUUGUUCUCAACUUUCUCUGUGGAAUGCAACUUCCACAAUAAUGGCAAAACGGUGUGGUAAGAGAACAAUUGAUUCAGAAUGCAGGGUAUUUAACCCGCAGUGGACACAUGAUUACUUUUUUGUUCAGUUGGGUAAUGUGUAUGCCCAGCUGCAGCAGAAGACUAAAGAUUUUCAGUUUUUUUCAUUAGCACUGGAUGAGAGCACGGACGUGCAGGACACCGCGGAGCUUCUUAUUUUUAUUCGUGGAGUUAACACAAACUUUGAGAUGUGCGAGGAGUCUUUGUGACGGGAUUCAUAAUGUCGGCGCAGGUUGUAUUCUUUGAAUACCGCCACUGUCUCUUGACAGACGAGACAAACAGCCUUUUCUUUCAACUGAACAAAAAAGUAAUCAUGUUGCCGACAUCGAUGAAGCCCAGCCUUCGUAUCAGUUUGAGCUGGCCGAGUUACAGAACUGUGAUGUUCUGAAAGACGCAUUCAAGCCCAACAGUCUCAUUGACUUCUAUGCUGCCCUCCCAAAUGACACCUACCCUAACAUAAAACAACACGCAAUGAAGAUGUCCACACUUUUUGGCAGCACGUAUAUCUGCGAGCAAACCUUUUCACGCAUGAAACUCCUGAAAACUCCAACAAGAUCAAGAUUGACAGAUGAACAUUUGCAUCAGUGUUUGAGACUGGCUGUGACUAGAAUGGAACCGGACAUUCAACUUCUCUCCAGCCAGAUGCAGGCCCACAGUUCACACUGAUGAACACACAGUACAUAGAGGGAAGUUGAUGAGAGGGAGCCUACAGUGGUGUCUACUGGGCUAGCCUAUGGAACCUACAAAGAACACAAGAACUUUGAGAGACAUUUGAGAUUCUGCUGUGACAAGUGAAGUUUACCUUUUAUCUAGGAUUGUGCAUGGCACAGCAUAACUUUCUUUCUGUGAAGAACCCAGAGAGGGUUAUUUGAUCUCAGAAAGGGUUAUUAAUAUUUGGAUAUGUGUGGUGCGCUGGAGUGUCAGCAUGUUUUCUGGAAAACAAUAAAUUAUUACAUUUAGGGA